AUGAAGCCUUCAGUGCUGGGAGCGUGUUUUGGGCUGAAAUCCCUGCCCAGCACUCACCCUUUACACCUGGGAAUCCGAGGGGUUUCCCACUCUUAUUUCAGCAUGUCACAGCUGCAGCCAGGCUCAGUUUUGAGGCUGAGCUCACCUAACCAAGCAGGAAGGGCAGCUGGUUCACAUGGCAAGCCUGGCACACGACUGCUCCUUCCUGAGCUUCCACAGGUGAUGGCUGAGGCUACAAAAGACCAUGAGUUGAUCUAGUCCAUCUUUCUGCAUAGUACCAACUGCAGGAGCAGCAAGUUGGGCAAGAAGGUACAGAGGAGGUUGUAGAACUUAAUUCUUUUAGGAGUCUAACUGUGCAUAUCUGUCAUCCUAGAGAAUUUUAAACAUGGCCUGAGGACUUGAGCUCCAUCUAAAACCUUGUGGACAAUGAUGGGCACACCUGACAUGUGGGUCCAGAUCACCCUUCUUGGGGGUCUCUGAGCUGGGCAUGAUAAAUGCUCAGCACAGCAGUGGAAUUGGGUCUGAGGCUGCCUGGAUGUGGUCCUCCAGCCUUCCUCAUCCUCUCCAGCAGGAAUGUGUUCCUCACUCUCUCCAGGAGUCUGUUUUCCCACCCACACAUCAGUGUGUGAUGGAGAUCUACAGACCACACUGUGCUGGUGCUGUAUGAGCCUGCUGCUUUCUUCUUGCUUGCAGGCAAUCCUAGGGAAGACUGGGAUUAUCCUGAGGUAUAAAACUGGUAUCCUCAGACACCAGUUCUGCAUGAAAUAGUAGUUUGGUGUCUAGGAAGAGCUGGAAAACCCUUCUCUUCUACUGUGGCAAGACAGAAAAUCCUUCCAGACCUCUUUCCCUGCUCAUCCCAGAAGUGCUAAACAUCCUUCUGUGGUCCUUUGGGUGCACUGAGCAGGCAGACCCUCCUAAUGACUUUGCCAUCCCAGCCUGGUGCAGACACUGGGAGAGUUGUGGGCAUCUCAGCAUCUUUCUUCCCAUGUGCUCUGCAUCUGAGACUUCCUGGGAACUCCUUGUACAAAGCUAAAAACAUCUGCAAAAGCAAAGGCUAAGAAAGCUGCUGGGGAUUCAUGUUACCUCUCUCCCAUGAGGGCUCUGUGACUUCCAUUCACACCACUUCCCGCAUAAUCAAAAAACAAACCUUGGAUGCCCGAGAAUGUAACUUUUCUCAGAGGAAGGAGCCACUGGUUGUAAAGCCUUUGUAAAACAGCAGGUUUCCUGGUAAAAUGCACUGGCUGUUUCCCAAGGGGGGUGAUGCUAUCUCUAAAACCCAAGCAAGAUUCACAGCAGGCAGCUCAUGCAAACAAAUACCAGGGCAGGAGUGGUUUGGGGUGAGGAGAUGUUUGAAGCUGGCUCUGCUUUUGCUUUGGAUAGUGGGAGAGAGCUGAUCAGCUACACUCUCAUCUCGGGGACUGGCAGGACAACACUGACUCAGUGAUGCUUAAACACUGAUACAGCCCGAAACAAACUGGAAAUGAAAAGGAAAACCUGAUGGACAUUGCAAGAGCAGAGGUUAGAAGCUCCCAGCCAUCAAACUAUGCAAGUGCCACCAGGAUGCUCAUGGUUUUUCUUUCACAAACAUUGCCUUUGCUGGAGGAUUAAGACAAAAUGCAUGGAGGAGGCAAAAUACCAGAGCUUAAAAGCUUUUUUAAAAGCUGCACACCCUUUUGUAUGUCUGCCAUCAUUUGGAGAGUUAGAAAUGUAACAGAAGCCCAUGUCUGUUUAUUUAACAUGGGCCAAGAUAUGUCUGCAUACAUGUUUAUAUCCAAUGCACAUAAACACACUCCAAUUUCCAUAACCUACUCUCCAAAGGGGAGCUGAAGAUGCUGUGUCCCUUUUACCCUCAGUUCAGACAAUGCCAGGAGUUGCCUGUAGCUUUCUGUGACAUGCAGAAGGAAAAUGUUUAUUUCUGUGUGAGCAGCGGGUUUCCUCUGGGAUGCCUUGAUUGAUACCCUGCUAUUGAUCCCAGCAGCAGCUGGGAUGGACACAGGGUGCCCAAAUAUGAAACCGAGGGGGAGCAUGUGCACACAGCACGGCUGUCCUGCUGCCCAUGCUGCCUGCAGCCUCCUGACCCUCUCCUGUUAGCCACAGCCCCCAGGCAGGGUCCUGGCAGGGUGGCUGACACCUCCAGGGCUUUUAGCAAACCUCCCCAGCAGCCUUGGCCCUGGAGCUGCAGCCACAGCUGCUCUGAGCCUGCCUAGAGAGGGAGUCCUGAAGGGCUGGUGGGGCAGCUCCAAGGCACCUUUGGAGCCAGGGGCUGAAUUCUGGAUANNNNNNNNNNNNNNNNNNNNNNNNNNNNNNNNNNNNNNNNNNNNNNNNNNNNNNNNNNNNNNNNNNNNNNGGGACUGGCUGAAUUCUGGAUAUAACAUUCCUGUAGGCAUGUGGGACAGGCUGAAUUCUGGAUAUAACACGGCUCCUGUAGGGAUGUGGGACAGGUUGAUUUCUGGAUAUAACACUCAGGCUGACACAGCAAAUAGGCAGGACAGGGAAGAAACCACCACAAUUCAAAAUGGACAGGUGGAGGAUUUUUUGUUAAGGGGCAUGCAAGAAACUUUGGGUUUUUUAACACUUCUGUUAUUCUGUUUUUAACACUUCUGUUAUAUAUUGUGUUUAUUCCUGUGAUAUUUUUGAUAAAGACUUUGGUGAAACACUAGUAGGGAGAAAGGGGAGAGGCAAGUCUGAAUGCUGCCUUCUAGAAAUAAACUGGAAUAAAAUAAUAAAUGAGGAAAAAAG
This 2739-nucleotide long non-coding RNA is filed under the name Zonotrichia albicollis (white-throated sparrow). Its description in RNAcentral is "lncRNA (ENSZALG00000004487.1)". The record is from RNAcentral. Lineage: Eukaryota; Metazoa; Chordata; Aves; Passeriformes; Passerellidae.